This 214-nucleotide ribosomal RNA is filed under the name uncultured bacterium. Its description in RNAcentral is "partial 16S ribosomal RNA". It matches the Rfam family "Bacterial small subunit ribosomal RNA", at positions 144 to 353 of the family's 1533-position model. The record is from RNAcentral.
UAGCCUUUCGAAAGGAAGAUUAAUACCGCAUAAGAUUGUAGUAUCGCAUGAUAUAGCAAUUAAAGGAGCAAUUCGCUAUAAGAUGGACCCGCGUCGCAUUAGCUAGUUGGUGAGGUAAUGGCUCACCAAGGCGACGAUGCGUAGCCGACCUGAGAGGGUGAUCGGCCACAUUGGGACUGAGACACGGCCCAGACUCCUACGGGGAGGCAGCAUG